Molecule: long non-coding RNA, 707 nt
Organism: Acanthochromis polyacanthus (spiny chromis)
Lineage: Eukaryota; Metazoa; Chordata; Actinopteri; Pomacentridae
Exons: 3
Source: RefSeq, a predicted model, not a curated record
GAUCCAUUUUAAGGGCAGUGCUUCCCUCCCUGCAUGCAAAUGUUUUCCCAAAACAAUUCCACCAUUGAUGCAUCCUGUUCUUAGCCCAUCCCAAGACAAUUGUGAUUUGUUUGUAGAGAUGCAAACACAAAGAUCUUUGUUACCCCUUUAGCAAAAUCAUGAGGUGUAGUCAGACCGUUCUACACAGCACUGUGUUAGCACGAGAGAAUGGUCUGACUAUACAGGACUUUAUACAUCCUCUGGAGAAGUGACAAAGGCAAAGAGAAAUUCUCUUUCUUUUCAGCUUUUAUAUACUUAAGAUUUCAAAGCACAUUCACCUGGCAGUGUAUGAGUCAGAACCCUUGGGUGGAAUCGGUUUGCCGUGACACACAAUGACACAUAAACUUCAAACGCAGGCUCCCACACUCUGAGAAACCACCGCAGGACAGAAAAUGCCUGGAAGCCUCUCAUCCUGGGAAAUGUCACUUUGCACAGGUAUCAUGCUAAACAUUGCUCAUUCCUUGCAAGCUUUGGUGCUUCAUGCAAAUACAGAGAAACAUACACACAAAAAACGAGCUAUCAGUGAGAUAUAUCCAAGUACAUUCACUCAAUACAUUUACUUUUUACUACAUUUAUAUUGCAACAUUGCUAGUUAAUUAUUAGCAUUGCAAUCCUGUAACUCAAUAGAUUUUUAUAAAGUAUCAGCAGCAGAAGUAGUGACAGUUUUA